RNAcentral lists this ribosomal RNA (360 nucleotides) under uncultured Ruminococcus sp. RNAcentral describes it as "partial 16S ribosomal RNA". The record is from RNAcentral. Lineage: Bacteria; Bacillati; Bacillota; Clostridia; Eubacteriales; Oscillospiraceae.
GGAGUCUGGGCCGUGUCUCAGUCCCAAUGUGGCCGUUCAACCUCUCAGUCCGGCUACCGAUCGUCGCCUUGGUGGGCCGUUACCCCGCCAACUAGCUAAUCGGACGCGAGUCCAUCUCUCAGCGAUAAAUCUUUGAUAUUCCUGUCAUGCGGCAAAAAUAUAUUAUGCGGUAUUAGCGCUCUUUUCAGGGCGUUAUUCCCCACUGAGAGGCAGGUUACUCACGCGUUACUCACCCGUCCGCCACUAAGUUAAGCAAGGAAAUCCACUAGCAAGCUAGCAUCAGACCAGCGCUUAACUCCGUUCGACUUGCAUGUGUUAAGCACGCCGCCAGCGUCGUCCUGAGCCACUGAUCAAACUACU